RNAcentral lists this transfer RNA (85 nucleotides) under Clostridiales bacterium. RNAcentral's name for it is "tRNA-Tyr". It matches the Rfam family "tRNA". From Rfam's summary of the family: Transfer RNA (tRNA) molecules are approximately 80 nucleotides in length. Lineage: Bacteria; Bacillati; Bacillota; Clostridia; Eubacteriales. The record is from RNAcentral.
GGAGGGAUACCCAAGUGGCCAAAGGGGGCAGACUGUAAAUCUGUUGGCUCAGCCUUCGGUGGUUCGAAUCCACCUCCCUCCACCA